Molecule: non-coding RNA, 23 nt
Filed under: Arabidopsis thaliana (thale cress)
Lineage: Eukaryota; Viridiplantae; Streptophyta; Magnoliopsida; Brassicales; Brassicaceae
Source: RNAcentral
GAUAGUGUUGCAGUCGUGGUGAU